RNAcentral lists this ribosomal RNA (425 nucleotides) under uncultured bacterium. RNAcentral's name for it is "partial 16S ribosomal RNA". It matches the Rfam family "Bacterial small subunit ribosomal RNA", at positions 354 to 796 of the family's 1533-position model. The record is from RNAcentral.
GUUAGGAAUAUUGGACAAUGGGCGAAAGCCUGAUCCAGCCAUGCCGCGUGAACGAUGAAGGCCUUCGGGUUGUAAAGUUCUUUAGCCGAUGAUUAUAAUGACUGUAGUCGGAAAAUAAGCCCCGGCUAACUUCGUGCCAGCAGCCGCGGUAAUACGAAGGGGGCGAGCGUUAUUCGGAAUCACUGGGCGUAAAGCGUGCGUAGGCGGUUUUGUAAGUUAGGAGUGAAAGCCCAGGGCUCAACCUUGGAAUUGCUCUUAAAACUGCAAGGCUCGAAUCUCGGAGAGGAUAGCGGAAUUUCCAGUGUAGCAGUGAAAUGCGUAGAUAUUGGAAGGAACACCAGUGGCGUAAGCGGCUAUCUGGACGAGUAUUGACGCUGAGGCACGAAAGCGAGGGGAGCAAAAGGGAUUAGAUACCCGAGUAGUCC